Molecule: RNA transcript, 1508 nt
Organism: Photinus pyralis (common eastern firefly)
Lineage: Eukaryota; Metazoa; Arthropoda; Insecta; Coleoptera; Lampyridae
Exons: 2
Source: RefSeq, a predicted model, not a curated record
CAAAAUAAAGCGUGCGAUUAAAUCCGGAAUGUCACCUGAUGAAUCGUAUGUUUCGCAUUUGCCAUGGUUUAACACAGCCCACAGAUUUUUAAAGGAAGUGGUUAAUACCAGGGAACAUUUCUCAAAUCAUAGUUUGAUAAGCGACCAUGCCUUGAAUACGGUUUCAUCAAAUAAUCUUUCAGUGGAAAGGCAUCAUCUCCAACAAUAACCCCCCACUUUGGAAAUCCUACUGAUCCAUUUUCUAUUGCUGCCUUCAAUGAACUAUUCCUAAAAACCGUGCUGUCAUUUACACGUCCAUUAGAUCCAAUAUCAAUAUAAGUAAAACAGUAAUUGUGAUCAACUAAGGCGAAAAGUAUGGUGCUGAAAUAUCCUUUGUAGUUGUAGAAGUCACUGUGACUAUUGUUGGGACACUGUAUGUUGAUAUGCUUGCCAUCUAGUGCGCCGCAGCAUUUUGGAAACUGCCAUCUCUCUUCAAAACCUUUUGCUAUUGCUGCCCAAUCGUUUGUAGAUGUAGGCAUCUAAAAAUAGAAAAUUUACUUGUUUAGUUGCAAUAAUUUGCAUUUAUUUCUUUCAGUUUGAAGAAAUUGCUCAGUACUCUGGAGCCUCGCAAUUGGAGCAAGAGAACUAUGAUGAAACUGAAGUGGAGGCAACAUCAAAUAAAGGUGAAAUGAAUGUUAUAACCAUAUUGACGAAAUUAUUGGCGAUAAGCCAUCAAAUACCUCUGAACCACAAGCUGUUAUUAAUGUAGGCAUCAAUAGAACAACAGUCCCUGCAUUAGAGACACAUGCAGAUACUGACAAAGAAGAAGCCAAUCGAAUACUCAAGAGUUGAAUAUUCAAGAAUCAGACACCCUUCGCACCACAUUGUCUUCACCAAUCAGAGAUUUAACCAGGAAGCGACCCAUGAACGACAGUACAACAAAUGUGCCAACAACUUCACAUGGCAGCAUGAAUCGAUCAGCGACACCAAGCAUUCCACGAAAGGCAAAACAGAAGGCGUCUAACUCAAAGGAUACAGUUCCCCAAUAUGUCACAAGUGCCAUCCAGUCACUGCAGGAUCUAAAACGAUCCACUGAAAGGACUGAAGAUGAAUUUUUUCAUUUCGGAAAUAAUGUAGCCAGCCAACUGAGGCAACUUCCACUAGAUCUUGCUUUGCAUUGCCAGUCCGAAAUUAUGGCACUGUUAGCAAACCAACGUGUUACGUCGUUGCAGAGGUCACAGUCAUUUGUCAAUCGCUCACAAUUUCAUUCUGGACAUGCUGAAACACCCAUUCCACGAUACUCCUCCGAAACUAAUAGUACAGAUUCUGGGGGGCAAUAUCAGUUUAGUGAUAGGAACUACCAACAUUCCCAAGAACCAGAUACUAUAACUGCUGCCAUCAGAAGUAUUGGUGGCUUUGAUGCAUUAAAUUAAUAAUGUUUACUUUCACCUCGUUCACAUGUACGUUAUAACAAUAUUAUGUAUUUUCAGUUGCUUGUUUUUUCUAAUACAUACUAGAAAUAAAGUUGA